Molecule: non-coding RNA, 2798 nt
Organism: Podarcis lilfordi (Lilford's wall lizard)
Lineage: Eukaryota; Metazoa; Chordata; Lepidosauria; Squamata; Lacertidae
Source: the annotation of a GenBank genome assembly
CCAUCAGAUGCGGAUCUUGGAGGGCCUCCUUUGCAACUCGGAAUGGUAAGCAUACGGAAUGGGGCAGGUUAUUAGGGCUGUGUCUGGAUAGCUUGCACUGUUUUAGAUCCCUUUUUCUGAAAGAAUAUUUGCACUGCUUUAUUGAAUUUUUAAAAAAUAACAAAUAAUAUAAUACUAAAUUUUAUUUAUAUCCCGCCCUCCCCGGCCAGAGCCGGGCUCAGGGCGGCUAACAUCAGUAAAAUUACUGAUUACAGGUUAAAAUGCAGUUUAAAAUGCAGCCUCAUUUUAAAAGUAGCCCAUAGAUCAAAACCAUAAAGGGAGGGAAACAUAUAUACGCAUUUUGUGUUUGACUUAGUUGGAAGACGCACACAAACACAACACAUAUUUAUAUUAUAUGUAUCAGCUGGCAUUAAAAACAAUAAUAAUUCCCUGAGAGUUAUCAGUUCAUUUUAACAGAUUUCCUCUCUCUUGCGCAUAUUUUGCAUAGCCUCAUUGUAUGCCGCUUAAAAACUACGGGCGUUAAGCAGCAUAAAAAUGCCUGGAAUAAAUAAAUAAAUACCGUAUGAUUUUUAAAAAUUACUUGCAAGAGGACUCUUCAGGACGUCUGAAGCAAUAGAGAAUAAAUUAAACCCAGCUAACAUAAGACCUAAUAAUUUAAAUGGGUCUACUCUGAGUAUGAGGUGGUGGUGGUGGAAGAACCCUUAAAACGAAUCGGGGGAUGUUGUUUUCCUGAGAAUGUUUGUCCUACUCAGGGUAGACCUACUAAUAUGAACGGACACAACUCAUUUAGGCUCCACACUUCAGUUAAGCCUUAGGCGGCUAAAGUCCUUUUGGUAGAUGACUUAACAGAUUUUAAAUAUUAAGCACUUAAGAAAUGCUAUUAAAUAACUCUGGCUGUUGGGCGGGGGGUGAGCGGUGAAAUAUUUCUGCAUUGCAGGGGGAUGGAGUAGAUGACCCUCAGGAGACCCUUCAAAUUCUAUAUAUAGAGAGAAUUUUUGUGCACUUGUAUCGGCCCUCAUGCACAAGCCUUUCUUUCUUGUGUUCCAAGGGGGCUGCAUGUGGGUCUCCCCUUCACCCACCCUAUAUUCUCCCUACAACAACUGCACCAGGCAGAUCAGGCUGGGUCAGUUUUAGAGCUGAGAGGGGUCUGAACCCAUGGGUCUCUUAACCCAACUGCAGUCCAAUACUCUAACCACUAUACCACACUGUGCAGCACUAAAAAAAAGGCUGCGAGAACCUGCCGCAGAUGGGUGUCUUGCCCAGUACGGCAUGCAUUGGAAGUUUUAAAACAGAUGUUAGGUGUUUUACCUCCUGGUGUGAGAAUGAGGGAGUUGCACUGGUGAGUCUAGCAUUGUGUGGAUGAUUAAAGUUUGGCAGAGUCCACAUGUCAGUUUUGUAGCAGGGGAGCGGGUUCAAAUUCUCAGUGUGAGUUUCCCACACCUAAAAUUCCAUUCCUUCUCCUUCCAGCUCCCCACUCGCCAAAGUCUGCUGCGGAGCGAAACCGACCCAUUGAGGUUCCAGGCUGGAUAUCAUCAUAUACUGUAAGUUGGAAUGAGACACUACAGUAUAGAUGAUGUACUACCUUGAACUCCUGGAGCCGCCGAGAUCCCAAAGCAACCCUUUUGUUGUCCUCAGCGCUCCCCACCGGAGCUGAGGUUGGGCUGAGCCCAGCUUGGUUGGGGUGGUUGGAUAGAAACUGAUUAUUUUAAAAGCGCAGAGCCCAGCUUUAUUUUUAAGACCUUUCCACCGGUGGUCUUCACCCCACCAGAAUGACUGUGAAAUAUGGGACCUUCUCUGUCUCCCCCGCCAUUAAAUCUAGGUAUUUCAGAGCAGUGCAGUUCACCUAUGGAACUCCUUCCCACAGGAGGAAGAGAUGGCUACCAGCUUGGAUGGCUUUAAAAGAAUAGACAAAUUCACAGAGGGCUAUUAAUGGCUACUAGCUGCAAUGACUGUACUCUGCCUCCAUAGCUGGAGACAGUGAGGCUUCUGAAUACCAGUUGUUGGAUCCGUUUGGCCCCUGUGAGUACAGAAUGCUGAGCUAGAUGGGCCUGAUCCAGCAGAGCUCUUCUGACCUUCUUCUACGUCCCUCCAGAUGUUGCUAGACUCAGCCCCCUUCUGCCCUGAUCCUUGCAACAUCUGGAGAACAACAGGGUCCCUAUCCCUGACAGUAAUGAGGGGAAAGGCACCCUUCUUUAGUCUUCCAUUGGACCACAGGAAAUAUAUCUAAGAAGCUGACUUAUUGGCAGCUCAGACUGCGUGUCUUUUCUAGCCCAAGAUUUUUCACUUGCCUUAGCAGCAGUUCUUCAGAAAAAAGAUUUUCCCAUCGUCCUUUUUGGAAAAAAGCUAGAACCAGCCUAGAGUUUGUUUUGCUGGGUGUGUGCGUGUGCGUGUGUGCAACAUUGACUGGACAAGAAGAAGAAAAUGCAGUCCUGCUCAGAAGACAAAUCUCGCGGGGUGUCAGCAAAACCGUUACCAUUACUGAGUUUAGUAAUGGUAAUGGUUCUUCUGCCAUCUUGCCCACCAUCUGACUCCACAGAAGCAGGAAUUUCAGCUUCAUCUGAUGAAAGAGGGCUCCUUUUCACAUCGGCCUAUAUCAGGCCACUUCUUUCUUGCUCCUGUAAGAAAUAAAAAAAGUUCUAGAAGCUUUUGCGUUUCCCUUUUAUUUGCAGAGGGAGGGGUUCCCAAGGAUGGCCAACUGGAGCACACGUCUGGGCAUAAAGCCUGUGGUAUUUAUUUUUAUUUAUUUAUAAAACAUUUGCAUACUGUGUCAUAUAAAAUAUAUAAAGGAGGUUGACCGC